RNAcentral lists this ribosomal RNA (869 nucleotides) under uncultured archaeon. Its description in RNAcentral is "bacterial SSU rRNA". It matches the Rfam family "Archaeal small subunit ribosomal RNA", at positions 36 to 911 of the family's 1478-position model. The record is from RNAcentral.
GGAUGAUACUAAGCCAUGCGAGUCAUUGUAGCAAUACAAGGCAGACGGCUCAGUAACGCGUAGUCAAUCUACCCUAUGGACGGGAAUAACCUCGGGAAACUGAGAAUAAUGCCCGAUAGAACAUUAUACCUGGAACGGUUUAUGUUUCAAAUGAUUUAUCGCCGUAGGAUGGGACUGCGGCCUAUCAGUUUGUUGGUGAGGUAAUGGCCCACCAAGACUAUUACAGGUACGGGCUCUGAGAGGAGUAGCCCGGAGAUGGGUACUGAGACACGGACCCAGGCCCUAUGGGGCGCAGCAGGCGAGAAAACUUUGCAAUGUGCGAAAGCACGACAAGGUUAAUCCGAGUGGUUUCUGCUAAAGAAACCUUUUGCUAGUCCUAGAAACACUAGUGAAUAAGGGGUGGGCAAGUUCUGGUGUCAGCCGCCGCGGUAAAACCAGCACCUCAAGUGGUCAGGAUGAUUAUUGGGCCUAAAGCAUCCGUAGCCCGUUUUGUAAGUUUUCGGUUAAAUCCAUACGCUCAACGUAUGGGCUGCCGGGAAUACUGCAUAACUAGGAAGUGGGAGAGGUAGACGGUACUCGGUAGGAAGGGGUAAAAUCCUUUGAUCUAUUGAUGACCACCUGUGGCGAAGGCGGUCUACCAGAACACGUUCGACGGUGAGGGAUGAAAGCUGGGGGAGCAAACCGGAUUAGAUACCCGGGUAGUCCCAGCUGUAAACUAUGCAAACUCAGUGAUGCAUUGGCUUGUGGCCAAUGCAGUGCUGCAGGGAAGCCGUUAAGUUUGCCGCCUGGGAAGUACGUACGCAAGUAUGAAACUUAAAGGAAUUGGCGGGGGAGCACCACAAGGGGUGAAGCCUGCGGUUCAAUUGGAG